AGGAUAGAGGCCUACCAUGGUGGUAACGGGUAACGGGGAAUUAGGGUUCGAUUCCGGAGAGGGAGCCUGAGAAACGGCUACCACUUCCAAGGAAGGCAGCAGGCGCGCAAAUUACCCAAUCCCGACACGGGGAGGUAGUGACAAUAAAUAACAAUACGGGGCUCUUUCGGGUCUCGUAAUUGGAAUGAGUACAAUUUAAAUCCCUUAACGAGGAACAAUUGGAGGGCAAGUCUGGUGCCAGCAGCCGCGGUAAUUCCAGCUCCAAUAGCGUAUAUUAAAGUUGUUGCAGUUAAAAAGCUCGUAGUUGAAUUUCGGGAUUGACGUGAUGGUCGUGCCUUAAGGGGUAUGAACUGUCGCAGUUGAUUUCUCACCUUCUGGAGAAGCAUGAUGUCCUUAAUUGGGUGUCAUGUGGAACCAGGACCUUUACCUUGAAAAAAUUAGAGUGUUUAAAGCAGGCAUUUUGCUCGAAUACAUUAGCAUGGAAUAAUAGAAUAGGACGGCAUGGUUCUAUUUUGUUGGUUUCUAGGAUCACCGUAAUGAUUAAUAGGGAUAGUUGGGGGCAUUAGUAUUCAAUUGUCAGAGGUGAAAUUCUUGGAUUUAUUGAAGACUAACUACUGCGAAAGCAUUUGCCAAGGAUGUUUUCAUUAAUCAAGAACGAAAGUUAGGGGAUCGAAGACGAUCAGAUACCGUCGUAGUCUUAACCAUAAACUAUGCCGACUAGGAAUCAGACGA
This 732-nucleotide ribosomal RNA is filed under the name uncultured fungus. Its description in RNAcentral is "SSU rRNA". It matches the Rfam family "Eukaryotic small subunit ribosomal RNA", at positions 330 to 1060 of the family's 1831-position model. The record is from RNAcentral. Lineage: Eukaryota; Fungi.